GUAGUGACAAGAAAUAACAAUACAGGGCAUCCAUGUCUUGUAAUUGGAAUGAGUAAAAUUUAAAUCUCUCUACGAGUAUCAAUUGGAGGGCAAGUCUGGUGCCAGCAGCCGCGGUAAUUCCAGCUCCAAUAGCGUAUAUUAAAGUUGUUGCGGUUAAAAAGCUCGUAGUUGGAUUUCUGCCGAGGACAGUCGGUCCGCCCUUGCGGGUGAGCAUCUGAAUGGCCCUGGGCAUCUUUUCCGAAGACUGUAUCUGCACUUCAUUGUGUGGAGCGGUAUUCGGAACCUUUACUUUGAGGAAAUUAGAGUGUUUCAGGCAUGCGCUUGUGGUGAAUACAUUAGCAUGGAAUAAUAAGAUAGGACUCGUGGCCUACUUUGUUGGUUUGUGUGCCAUAGGUAAUGAUUAAUAGGGAUAGUUGGGGGCAUUAACAUCCAAUUGUCAGAGGUGAAAUUUCUGCACUUAUUAAAGACGUUCUACCGCCAAGUCAUUUGCCAACGAUCUUUUCAUUGAUCAAGAACGAAAGUUAGGGGAUCGCACUCGCCCCCACACUAUCCCUAUUAAUCGAUUUACUAUGGCACCCAACCAACGGGGGUAGGUCUCAUUAUGACUCCUUCAGCACCUUAUUCCAUGCUAAUGUAUUCGGGCUCUAGCGCAUGCCUGAUAACACGGCUGAACUCAAAGUAAAUUGACCGAAUGGGCACCACCAGGAGUGGACCUGCAGAUCCAGUCGACUCAAUUCGGAAAAGAUGCCCAGGGCCCAGACAUAGUAAGGAUUGACGAUUGAAUAGCUUUCUUGAUUCGGCAGGUGGUGGGUGCAUGGCCUUUUUAACCGGUGGAGUGACAUAUCUUUAAUAUACGCUAUGGAGCUGGAAUUACCGCCUGCUAAAUAGUGUCAUCUUGCCCUCCCAAAUCUGAUUAACUGUUAUAAGAGAAUU
Molecule: ribosomal RNA, 933 nt
Filed under: Noctiluca scintillans
Lineage: Eukaryota; Dinophyceae; Noctilucales; Noctilucaceae
Description: SSU rRNA
Rfam family: Eukaryotic small subunit ribosomal RNA
Source: RNAcentral